UCCAUAUCUUGUUACAAAUUGCAUGGAA
RNAcentral lists this small RNA (28 nucleotides) under Bombyx mori (domestic silkworm). RNAcentral describes it as "ovarian small RNA-26928". The record is from RNAcentral. Lineage: Eukaryota; Metazoa; Arthropoda; Insecta; Lepidoptera; Bombycidae.